AUUUAUCUUUCUUUACAUUUUGUAUAAUUUUCUUACGACUUUAUAUGUAACACCCCCUACCCGUAUUCGUCACCGGAAUAGGGUACGAGGCAUUGCCGAAGUUUACCUAAUUAAUUUUUCCCGUUAUUAUAAGUUAAUUACUAUUCAUUUACUAAAACAUGUCAUGACGUCCUUUAGAUAGGUCUCCAAAGCCCAAAACAUACUUCGGGACCAAACCGAGAUUUAAUCAAAACCAUAGGUAAUUUUUUGCAAAGUC
Molecule: long non-coding RNA, 256 nt
Filed under: Gossypium barbadense (sea-island cotton)
Lineage: Eukaryota; Viridiplantae; Streptophyta; Magnoliopsida; Malvales; Malvaceae
Description: long non-coding RNA (GBAR_LNC019486)
Source: RNAcentral